GUAAGAAAAAUCAGAACACACUUAAAGUGAAGAGAGAUUAAAAUAGUAUAUCACUUAUACUAUCAACCAAUAUUGAUUAGACCAGAGAACUCACAGUGUCAACAUUGAUAUAGUGUCAUCUAGUAGCUGAUAAAUGGCAUAAAUUAUGAUGCUAGAAUAACAUGACCAUGCAAAUGUAGCUACUCAGGGUAUCAACUGAUAUAGGGUUGCAGCUUAUGAUUAUAUAACCAUGUAACGAUGCGAAUACAAAGAGAUGUGAAGCCUCGAACUGUGAAAGAAGAAAUAAAGCAUUGAAAUAGUCUAAACGGGGGUAAAGCUAAUGACAAGAUAAUUUCUUCUGAGCAUGUGUUGUAUACAAAAAAAACAAAAAAUUGAUACACACAUCUACCUUACAAAUACAAAUCCAUUCCUACCUUCAUUUUUUUCUUUUUCCAUCAUCAAAUUUAUAUUAAUUGCCUUCAUGAAUGGUGGUUCACCAGGAGCAGGACUUCUGUAGAAUGUGCCUGCCAUGGGGCAUUUAAGUGGGGAAAGAAAUAAGCUUGAUUUCUUCACAACUUGUGAGCCUAGAAUGAAGAAAAGAAACUCGCAAAAAGUCUCAUCCCAACUCAAAUAGAAAAGUAAGCAAGAAAUGGAAAGCUAUUAGAGAGCUUGAGUUGUAGCAUAAUAUCUGACCCAAAUAGAGCAAGGGCAGCUACUUCUCGAUAUCAUGCCAACAACUAACAAGCCAUGUUUACACAACCAAAUUUGUAAUGGCAAAAAUAAAUUUAUCGGACCUCAAAAGUAUUUUAAUAAGGGAAGAAUCUAUCUCCCACAGGGGCUGCAAUUUAUGGCCAUUUAAUCAGGUAAUUGUUAACUUGCGGUAGUCCUUAUUUUUUGUUGUUUACGGAUGAUGCCUAUCAAUAAAAUUUCUAUUUGUUGCAGUAAAAGGGAAAUUUAUGUACUAGCAUAUAUAGCUAAGCAUUAUACAUAUCGUUCCAGCAAAAGGGAAAUUAGAAAUUUUCGUUCACUUACCCAAAAUUUCUUAAAACCGAAGGAAGACUUAAAAGCAAACACUCAAAUCUACCAAACUAGUUCUUUAUAUUUAGCUUUUGAGUGAGAAACACGGAUUGAAUAUAAUCCUAAAUCCUAAUCCCAUUUUUUAUUCCCAUUCAAUAUUUAAAAGGAACUAGAAUAUAUUAGCAAUAAAUCCUAUUCCCAGAUCCCAUUCAAUAUAAUCUUAAUCCUAUUCAAUAUUUGA
RNAcentral lists this long non-coding RNA (1237 nucleotides) under Olea europaea (common olive). RNAcentral describes it as "long non-coding RNA (OEUR_LNC004498)". The record is from RNAcentral. Lineage: Eukaryota; Viridiplantae; Streptophyta; Magnoliopsida; Lamiales; Oleaceae.